This 673-nucleotide ribosomal RNA is filed under the name Bdellovibrio bacteriovorus. RNAcentral describes it as "16S ribosomal RNA". It matches the Rfam family "Bacterial small subunit ribosomal RNA", at positions 304 to 1374 of the family's 1533-position model. Lineage: Bacteria; Pseudomonadati; Bdellovibrionota; Bdellovibrionia; Bdellovibrionales; Pseudobdellovibrionaceae. The record is from RNAcentral.
UCANUCACACUGGNNCUGAGACACGGUCCAGNCUCUAACGGGAGGCAGCAGUAGGGAAUAUUGCACAAUGGAGGAAACUCUNAUGCAGCGACGCCGCGUGAGUGAUGAAGGCUUCGGGUCGUAAAGCUCUGUCGCAGGGGAAUAACACAAUGAAUGUACCCUGUAAGAAAGGAUCCGGGAAGUGGCUUUGUAAGUCAGAUGUGAAAGCCAGGGCUCAACCCUNGAAGUGCAUUUGAUACUGCGAAGCUUGAGUGUCGGAGAGGUUACUAGAAUUGUUGGUGUAGUGGUGAAAUACGUAGAUAUCAACAGGAAUACCGGANGCGANGGCGGGUAACUNGCCGAACACUGACACUGAGAUCCGAAAGCGUGGGGAUCAAACAGGAUUAGAUACCCUCGUAGUCCACGCNGUAAACGAUGGAUACUUGUUGUUGGAGGUAUUGACCCCUUCAGUGACGAACUAACGCGUUAAGUAUCCCGCCUNGGGAGUACGGUNGCAAGAUUUAUGCCUAGGGCUACACACGUGCUACAAUGGUAGUNANAGAGNGAAGCUAAGUCGGCAGGUAGAGCAANUCGCUUAAAAGCUAUCUAAGUUCAGAUUGAUCUCUGCAACUNGAGAUCAUGAAGUUGGAAUCGCUAGUNAUCGCGGAUCNGAAUGCNGCGGUNAAUNNNUUCC